AUGUAAUGUAAUGCCUACAACAUCAAUUCACUGGUUCCCUUUAGAAAUCCAUAGUUAGGCGUGCUUGGGCUAGAGUAGUACUGGGAUGGGUGACCUCUUUGGAAGUCCUAGUGUUUUACAUG
Picea glauca (white spruce) is the source of this 122-nucleotide non-coding RNA. The record is from Rfam. NCBI's taxonomy places the organism in Eukaryota, Viridiplantae, Streptophyta, Pinopsida, Pinales, Pinaceae.